This 427-nucleotide ribosomal RNA is filed under the name uncultured bacterium. RNAcentral describes it as "partial 16S ribosomal RNA". It matches the Rfam family "Bacterial small subunit ribosomal RNA", at positions 355 to 774 of the family's 1533-position model. The record is from RNAcentral.
UGGGGAAUAUUGGACAAUGGGCGAAAGCGUGAUCCAGCCAUGCCGCGUGUGUGAAGAAGGUCUUCGGAUUGUAAAGCACUUUAAGUUGGGAGGAAGGGCAUUAACCUAAUACGUUAGUGUUUUGACGUUACCGACAGAAUAAGCACCGGCUAACUCUGUGCCAGCAGCCGCGGUAAUACAGAGGGUGCAAGCGUUAAUCGGAAUUACUGGGCGUAAAGCGCGCGUAGGUGGUUUGUUAAGUUGGAUGUGAAAUCCCCGGGCUCAACCUGGGAACUGCAUUCAAAACUGACUGACUAGAGUAUGGUAGAGGGUGGUGGAAUUUCCUGUGUAGCGGUGAAAUGCGUAGAUAUAGGAAGGAACACCAGUGGCGAAGGCGACCACCUGGACUAAUACUGACACUGAGGUGCGAAAGCGUGGGGAGCAAACA